Small nuclear RNA from Tupaia belangeri (northern tree shrew), 104 nucleotides. NCBI's taxonomy places the organism in Eukaryota, Metazoa, Chordata, Mammalia, Scandentia, Tupaiidae. The record is from Ensembl.
GUGCUCCCUUCUUCAGCACGUACACUAAAAUUGGAAUGGGACAGAGAUCAGCAUGCCUCCUACGCCAGGAUGACUGGCAGAGCAGUGUGGCUGUUGGAAUGAAU